UCCAAACUUCUUUGGUAUUAUAAACCAUUGAUUGGAAUAUAGAGCCAUAAAUAAUUUAAAUAUCUUUAUUUGUAUUUUUUUCUUUUAAUAGAUUUAUCAAUUUAGAUAAUAAGGCUUUUGAUAUAAAAAUUGGUUUUCAUUCCUAAGACAUGUGGAACAAUAAAAAUAACCAUUGAUGUAACAAUCUUUGGAUUAAUACAUCCAAUUUCAUCUGGUGAAGAGACAAAAACCUUACCAUGCUUAGAGAUUAUUUUUUGAAAUCUUUUCUUCUUAGGUUCUUUCAAGAAUUUACACCUCCUAAUCUUUAGCUUAGUCAAUAUCUCUUCUAUGAAAUUGUAUCCAAUUCUUCUUAUUUAUU
This 358-nucleotide long non-coding RNA is filed under the name Physcomitrium patens. RNAcentral's name for it is "long non-coding RNA (PPAT_LNC011181)". Lineage: Eukaryota; Viridiplantae; Streptophyta; Bryopsida; Funariales; Funariaceae. The record is from RNAcentral.